GUUCAAUCUCAACGUUAUGCAGAGCAACGACGAGUGGAGAUAGGUGCAGAGAUGAAGAAAACCAUUCUCAAAGAUGCAGUAAUGGAGCAAGAUAAUGCUACUGUGUUCAAGCUCAACAUUAUGCAGAUCAAUGACGAGUAGAUACGUGCAGAGAUGAAGAAAACCAGAUGCAGUACUGGAGCAAGAUGAUGCUACUGUGAUCAAGCUCAACAUUUAUGCAGAUCAAUGACGAGUAGAUAACGUGCAGAAGAGCAGAGAUGCAGU
RNAcentral lists this long non-coding RNA (264 nucleotides) under Linum usitatissimum (flax). Its description in RNAcentral is "long non-coding RNA (LUSI_LNC000677)". Lineage: Eukaryota; Viridiplantae; Streptophyta; Magnoliopsida; Malpighiales; Linaceae. The record is from RNAcentral.